RNAcentral lists this ribosomal RNA (351 nucleotides) under Neohirasea hongkongensis. RNAcentral's name for it is "partial 12S ribosomal RNA". Lineage: Eukaryota; Metazoa; Arthropoda; Insecta; Phasmatodea; Lonchodidae. The record is from RNAcentral.
UAAACUACGAUUAGAUACCCUAUUAUUGUAUAUGUUAAAUUUUGCUAGGGUAUUAGUAGUUAUAUUCUUUAAACCUAAAAAACUUGGCGGUGUUUUAGUCUAUUUAGAGGAAUUUGUACCUUUAUCGAUAAUCCUCGUUUUAUCUUGCUUUAUUUUGUUAUCAGUAUGUAUACCGCCGUUAUAAGUUUAUUUUAUUAGAAUUAAAAUUUACUUUAUCUUUAAUUAAAGAUUAUUUCAGGUCAAGGUGCAGUUUAUAAUAAAGUGGUUAUGAAUUACAAUAUUAUUGUGAAUAAAUGGAUUUAGAWUUUAAAAUUUUAAUAAAGGUGGAUUUAAUUGUAAUUUUAUUUAUAA